AUCGUUCCAAAGAUAAUGACGGCGUCUGUGAGGACCCAGUACACUGAGCUUUUUAUGGCACGUAUUUGGUGGGAGUCUAGACCCGGUCUUGUCCAUAUUUUUUUAAUCAAGGUUGACCUCGGAUCAGGUAGGAAUACCCGCUGAACUUAAGCAUAUCAAUAAGCGGAGGAAAAGAAACCAACAGGGAUUGCCUCAGUAACGGCGAGUGAAGCGGCAACAGCUCAAAUUUAAAAUCUGGCCUUUUUAGGUCCGAGUUGUAAUUUGUAGAGGAUGUUUUGGGUACCGCAGCCAUUUAAAUUUCUUGGAACAGAAUGUCAGAGAGGGUGAGAGUCCCGUCUGGAAUGGCAGUAGGGCCUGUGUAAAACUCCUUCGACGAGUCGAGUUGUUUGGGAAUGCAGCUCAAAAUGGGUGGUAAAUUUCAUCUAAAGCUAAAUAUUGGCCAGAGACCGAUAGCGCACAAGUAGAGUGAUCGAAAGAUGAAAAGUACUUUGAAAAGAGAGUUAAACAGUAUGUGAAAUUGUUGAAAGGGAAGCGCUUGCAACCAGACUUGAGUGUAAUGGUUCCCCCUUGCUUUUGCUUGGGCUACUCUAUUAUAUUCAGGCCAACAUCGGUUUUAAGGGUUGGUUAAAGGCCUUAGGAAUGUACCUUCCCCCGGGAAGACUUAUAGCCUAUGGUGUCAUGCAGCCUCCUAAGACCGAGGAAUGCGCUUCGGCGAGGAUGUUGGCGUAAUAGUUGUAAGCGACCCGUCUUGAAACACGGACCAACCUAAGUGAGAAGAAA
This 780-nucleotide ribosomal RNA is filed under the name uncultured fungus. Its description in RNAcentral is "eukaryotic LSU rRNA". The stretch from base 114 to 780 matches the Rfam family "Eukaryotic large subunit ribosomal RNA", at positions 1 to 689 of the family's 3401-position model. Lineage: Eukaryota; Fungi. The record is from RNAcentral.